Molecule: long non-coding RNA, 602 nt
Filed under: Ananas comosus (pineapple)
Lineage: Eukaryota; Viridiplantae; Streptophyta; Magnoliopsida; Poales; Bromeliaceae
Description: long non-coding RNA (ACOM_LNC013547)
Source: RNAcentral
ACUUAUAACUACGGGCGUCAACCAGCCAAACACGAACGAGCCGGGAUCGGCUCGUAUUCCGCUUGUUUAAUAAACGAGCCAAACACGAGCCGACUCGUUAAAGUAUUGAGCCGAAAAAUUCAGAUCUUGUUCGGCUCAUUAAUAAACGAGUUGAACACGAACUACCUCACGAGCCGGCCAACGAAUAAUAGGUUAAAUAGGUUAGAUUAGAUAUGUAAAAAAAAUAAAUCUAUAAAAUCUUACCAAUUAGACUUUGAUCAAAUGGUUAAAAUUUUACAUAUAAAUGAGUAUUUUAAUAAUUGAGUUCGGUUUUAUAUUUUUUUAGCUAAAAAUCAAAUAAUAAAAAUAUAUAUAUUACAUAUAUAAUUAUUUAUUUAUAUAUAUAAAUAUAAAUUAUAUAAAUUAUAUAAAUAUAAAAUAUAUGUAUUCGAGCUGUUAUCGAGUCGAACGAGAGCGAAUUGAUCCUAGCUCUCGUGUUCGGCUCAUUUAUUAACGAGCUGAAAAAUUCAGCCCGUGUUCAGCUCGUUUACUAAACGAGUGAUUCGAUUUCGAGCUCAUUUCGAGCGGAUCACUAGUUGGCUCGCUAACAGCGAGCUGGAUUG